This 1681-nucleotide long non-coding RNA is filed under the name Sinocyclocheilus rhinocerous. RNAcentral's name for it is "lncRNA (ENSSRHG00000035658.1)". Lineage: Eukaryota; Metazoa; Chordata; Actinopteri; Cypriniformes; Cyprinidae. The record is from RNAcentral.
AUCUAAGCAGGGUUGUUGUUCAAACCUGCAAGUGUGUUUCAAAAUGUUUUCGUCAGGGCAAUUGUGUUACUGCCCCUUUUUUGGACAUCUGGUAGUGCUUAAAUGUGAGUAUAAAGCAGAGAUGAAGUGCACUUGGACUGCAGAAAGCAGCAGGAUGAAGAGUAAUGUGCAGCUAGGGCUGUUGUGUCUCAGCCUGCUCAUCUUCAGUCUUCAUGGAGAAGUUGUCGAGACAGAAUCGAGCAAACAAGUCCCCCCCUAUUUCGAAGAGCCGGAUCUUCAUCAGCUUGAGAUGUACAGAGUACGACGACAGACGGUCUCCACAGAGAAGGAAAAUCCAGCAAGAACAGUAGCUGUUUUGCCACCAAGUGAGAACCGCAAGACUAAGAGAACACGGCCACAUCCAGGAGGUCUCACUCCUUUAGGAGAACCAACGAUAUACGUCAAUCACCGCACCAAGAGACAGGAAAAAAGCAAGAAUAACAAAAGGAAAAUACGUCCCGGAAGUCAGAGCCUUUUAGUAAGCAGUGAAGUUUUACCCGUAUUCACUAUCCUCUGAUCAGCCUGCCAGCGCGCCAUUUAAACAUAUUCAUAGUAAUUUUAUAUUAAAGAAAUAGACUGACUUGCUUUACUUGAACUCAUCAUUUGCCUACCUCAAUUAAAGCGGCCCCAGCAGACUGCCAAUGUCAAGAGGGAUGACGAAUGAAAAAGUUAAAGCAUUAUAUGCGUUCAAGGCUCCUUCCCAGGUAACAUGUUGCAACGUAUUUACAUAAUAUGAAGGGGAAAAAAUGGUACUAAACAUACAUUAUUGUGGGUUCUCUCCUUACAGGUUCCCUGAAUCAGGAAAAAAGGAAUAUAUCACCAUGUUUCAUAAAGAGGGUUUCAGGCUCAGGUUCUGCUUGUGAUAAUCAUUUAUAUUUCUAUAGCUUUUCUUUUCCACGUAUAUUUUGGUUAAGUAAUAAUCUCUAUGGAAAAUAAAAUGUAUUUACUGAAUUCUCCCCCGUGUGUAUUUCGUAUUCGCAUCACUAGGGGGCAAUGUUUACCCAAGAGAUGAGCGCUCAAACCAGCUUGGCUUCUGUUUAAACGAAAUGUUUGAUAUCUGUUUAUCUUCAUCUAUUAAUUACAAUAAAGCAUUUGUCUUGAAAUGUCACUCUUUUAUUGUGUGGAAAACACUGUAGUCGACGAAUGGCUUUCUAUAAAGUUUUGGCUGUACUGCGUUUUUUUGUGUUGAUACUGUCAAGCAUAAACAGUCUAUGUGUUGACAGAUUCUGUGAGAUAUAAACUGCAUAACUAUCACUCCUCUUUAGUAUUUGAGUAGUUCUGCCAGUUAAAUGUGCCAGAAAUUAUCCUGAAAAGGCAUACAAAAUGGUAGGCCUAUGUUUUGUGCCAGGAAUUUGUCAAAACACAUUGGCGGUCCAAAGCAAAGAGAAAAGCAACACCCCUUCUUCCUUAUCUGCAUAAUCCUUGAUAAUAACAUAAAACUAUUUCCUACACGUUUCACGCUGUUGUUAUUUAAGAAUCUAAAAUGUUCCGGGAAAAAAAAAAACCUUUUAUAUGAGAUGGCCAAUGUAAUAACAUCGCUUCACACAUGAGCCCCAAAAAAGUAACCACAAGCAACCAUGCAAAAGCAACAAUUUGCACUUACACAGGUAUGUAAAAUGUAAGUAGUGCAGAUGUAAGCCAG